Molecule: ribosomal RNA, 436 nt
Filed under: Babesia microti
Lineage: Eukaryota; Apicomplexa; Aconoidasida; Piroplasmida; Babesiidae
Description: SSU rRNA
Rfam family: Eukaryotic small subunit ribosomal RNA
Source: RNAcentral
AAUUACCCAAUCCUGACACAGGGAGGUAGUGUCAAGAAAUAACAAUACAGGGCUUAAAGUCUUGUAAUUGGAAUGAUGGGAAUCUAAACCCUUCCCAGAGUAUCAAUUGGAGGGCAAGUCUGGUGCCAGCAGCCGCGGUAAUUCCAGCUCCAAUAGCGUAUAUUAAAGUUGUUGCAGUUAAGAAGCUCGUAGUUGAAUUUCUGCCUUGCCAUUAAUCUCGCUUCCGAGCGUUUUUUUAUUGACUUGGCAUCUUCUGGAUUUGGUGCCUUCGGGUACUAUUUUCCAGGAUUUACUUUGAGAAAACUAGAGUGUUUCAAACAGGCAUUCGCCUUGAAUACUACAGCAUGGAAUAAUGAAGUAGGACUUUGGUUCUAUUUUGUUGGUUAUUGAGCCAGAGUAAUGGUUAAUAGGAGCAGUUGGGGGCAUUCGUAUUUAA